This 1198-nucleotide long non-coding RNA is filed under the name Olea europaea subsp. europaea. Lineage: Eukaryota; Viridiplantae; Streptophyta; Magnoliopsida; Lamiales; Oleaceae. The record is from RNAcentral.
CUCUAAAAUCACAUUGCGUUUAGCUUUUAAUUCAGCAUAAAAAGUUCUAGGAUCAUCCAAAAUGCCCUUAUUUUUUGCUUCCAUGUCGAGUAAUUCCUCUUUCCAUCGAAUUGAGAUAUCAACCUUAGAACCCAUUACAGGUUUUGUAAAAGGAUGGUGAUUACUUAUGGACAUAAGCGAUUCUUUAAUAAUUGAUCACUUAAGUGCAAAAAGUUUUGAAAUUUUUUUUUUUUUUUUUUUGGCAAUAAUAAAAGGUAAGCUGACAAAGGAAUGACAAUACAAUAUCAACUAGAGAAUGCAAUUAUCACAGCAAAGCCAACAAAUGACUAACCUCAAGAUCACAUAAUACAANCUUAAAAUUUAUCAAUUAGUAUCACCCAAUCUUGAGAACAACUAACGCAUGCUUUUCAGUAAUUAUGAGUAAAGGCAGAAUUAGAACAGUUUCACCCACUGUAUGGUUGACUAAUCAAAAUUCAAGUACGCAGACAUCUUUCAAGAAACUCGUUCAGGCCCAAGAUGCCAAGAUCACCAAUUAUAGCUUUUAGCCAUUGUACUUGUCAAAAAAAAUCAGUAAUUAAUUCCAAAAAUAAUAUUCAGUGUAAAAAUAGAUAUGAAUCACAGUGGAUCAAGAAAAUGAUUCUUUUAAAAGACUGUGACUUGUAUGAACCAGAUUUGUAAGGAUUUAUCCCUUUGUUUUCAUGCUCGUAUGAGAAAUAAUCAAUCCAUCACACACAAAAGCAGUAAAAACACAAACGAUUGUUUACCCAGAUCAGUGAAAACGCCUAAUCUGAGGGACUCAGAGACUAGCCUCUUCACCAUGUGCAAAAAUAACCUUCCAAGAUAUAGAGAGAAUACACUAAAACCAUAAUCGGACACCAGAUCUAAUAUUUGAUCCAAAAGGAUCUCACAAAUCACACCUUAAUCACCGGUAAACAAAGUACCUUACUGCCUAACCAACACAUCACGGGCCUUACAAUCGACCAAAAAUACUGUAGCAAGAUGUAUUUUACAAGGUUCUUUCAAAUCGACUAAGAUCUCAUGUGAGAUCACAAGAAACAGAAAUCAAAAUAGAAGAAGAAAGUUAUCACGAAGAACCAGAGAGAGAUCUCAAGAAGAACCCAUAAGUUGAAAAACCAAGACUGAAGCCUGUCCUUUGGAAUGACCCAUCAAAUACCAAACCAAUUGUAUUAUAUUAGUU